UACGGGGGGGGCAAGCGUUGUUCGGAAUUACUGGGCGUAAAGCGCAUGUAGGCGGUUUCGCAAGUCGGGUGUGAAAGCCCAGGGCUCAACCCUGGAAGUGCACUCGAUACUACGGAGCUGGAGUCUUGAAGAGGAGAGCGGAAUUCCCGGUGUAGAGGUGAAAUUCGUAGAUAUCGGGAGGAACACCAGUGGCGAAGGCGGCUCUCUGGGCAAUGACUGACGCUGAGAUGCGAAAGCGUGGGUAGCAAACAGG
This 253-nucleotide ribosomal RNA is filed under the name uncultured bacterium. Its description in RNAcentral is "partial 16S ribosomal RNA". It matches the Rfam family "Bacterial small subunit ribosomal RNA", at positions 524 to 776 of the family's 1533-position model. The record is from RNAcentral.